GGGUUGUGAGGUUAAGCGACUAAGCGUACACGGUGGAUGCCCUGGCAGUCAGAGGCGAUGAAGGACGUGCUAAUCUGCGAAAAGCGUCGGUAAGGUGAUAUGAACCGUUAUAGCCGGCGAUGUCCGAAUGGGGAAACCCAGUGCAAUUCGUUGCACUAUCGUUAACUGAAUACAUAGGUUAACGAGGCGAACCGGGGGAACUGAAACAUCUAAGUACCCCGAGGAAAAGAAAU
RNAcentral lists this ribosomal RNA (233 nucleotides) under Klebsiella pneumoniae subsp. pneumoniae. RNAcentral describes it as "partial 23S ribosomal RNA". It matches the Rfam family "Bacterial large subunit ribosomal RNA", at positions 1 to 225 of the family's 2925-position model. The record is from RNAcentral. Lineage: Bacteria; Pseudomonadati; Pseudomonadota; Gammaproteobacteria; Enterobacterales; Enterobacteriaceae.